UAAACCGACACCGGUAGAUGAGUAGAACAUACUAAGGGGGAUCGGGAGAACCUUCGUUAAGGAAUUAGGCAAAUUAGAUCCGUAACUUCGGGAAAAGGAUCGCCUUGGUAGGAUGAAGCGGGCUAGCCCCGCUGAGUCUGACGAGGCCGCAGAGAAAUGGCUCUAUCGACUGUUUACCAAAAACACAGGUCUGUGCCAAGUCGGAAGACGAAGUAUACAGGCUGACGCCUGCCCAGUGCCGGAAGGUUAAGGGGAGAGGUUAACGCUUUGAACCGAAGCCCCGGUGAACGGCGGCCGUAACUAUAACGGUCCUAAGGUAGCGAAAUUCCUUGUCGGGUAAGUUCCGACCCGCACGAAAGGCGUAACGAAUGGAGCACUGUCUCAACGAAGGACCCGGUGAAACUGAACUAGGAGUGAAGAUGCUCCUUACCCGCAGCAGGACAAAAGACCCCGUGGAGCUUUACUGUAGCUGUCAUUAGGGUUAGGAUGUAACUUGUGUAGGA
Molecule: ribosomal RNA, 503 nt
Filed under: uncultured bacterium
Lineage: Bacteria
Description: bacterial LSU rRNA
Rfam family: Bacterial large subunit ribosomal RNA
Source: RNAcentral